UUACUUGUGAUAGAGGUGUUACUUCAGA
This 28-nucleotide small RNA is filed under the name Bombyx mori (domestic silkworm). RNAcentral describes it as "ovarian small RNA-36670". Lineage: Eukaryota; Metazoa; Arthropoda; Insecta; Lepidoptera; Bombycidae. The record is from RNAcentral.